CGGGGCUCUACGCGUGUGCACGAAUUAUGUCCCGUACGUGCUAUCCUCUGAAAAGGAAAGCUGUAUUUAAGCUCUCUGUACAGCCCUAUGCGGACAUCACUGGACGUGAACCUGUUGAAGGACUUGAAGCUAACCAUGAGGAUCACGAUCCCCUUUUUCAUCUUCGCCUUGGCAAUUGGUGUUGCCUUGGCUGGCGCCCAAUACGGCGGCUACGUUGCCGGUCACAAAGUACACGGCGGUGGCCACAAAGGUUACGGAUACGGCAUGAGCCAUGGUGGAUACCAUGGAAAAUCUCACGGUGGAUAUCAACGCAGCCACGGACAUGGACACGGCGGUUACGGAGGCGCGAAGCACCACGGUGGAUCGGGAUACGGCGUCAAGCACCAUGGAUGAGACGGCUACGGCAAAGGCCCGAAAAUCUGGCAGUUUUCUUUGUAAAUUUGCUGCUACGUGAUUGAAUAAAACUGUUGUGUGACGGCA
Long non-coding RNA from Dermacentor albipictus, 480 nucleotides. RefSeq lists it as uncharacterized. Lineage: Eukaryota; Metazoa; Arthropoda; Arachnida; Ixodida; Ixodidae. The record is from RefSeq and is a predicted model, not a curated record.